AUACGGAGGGUGCAAGCGUUACUCGGAAUCACUGGGCGUAAAGCGCGCGCAGGCGGGCUGAUAAGUUGGAUGUGAAAGCCUACGGCUCAACCGUAGAACUGCAUCCAAAACUGUCAGUCUAGAGUCUGAGAGGGGAAGAUGGAAUUAGUUGUGUAGGGGUAAAAUCCGUAGAGAUAACUAGGAAUACCAAAAGCGAAGGCGAUCUUCUGGAACAGUACUGACGCUGAGGCGCGAAAGCGUGGGGAGCAAACAGAAUUAGAUACCCUAGUAGUCC
RNAcentral lists this ribosomal RNA (274 nucleotides) under uncultured bacterium. RNAcentral describes it as "partial 16S ribosomal RNA". It matches the Rfam family "Bacterial small subunit ribosomal RNA", at positions 523 to 796 of the family's 1533-position model. The record is from RNAcentral.